This 64-nucleotide transfer RNA is filed under the name Empoasca vitis (smaller green leafhopper). RNAcentral describes it as "tRNA-Tyr". The record is from RNAcentral. RNAcentral also lists the same sequence under 1 other name. Lineage: Eukaryota; Metazoa; Arthropoda; Insecta; Hemiptera; Cicadellidae.
AUUAAGGUGUCUGAUUAAAGUAAUAAACUGUAAAUUUAUUCAUAAACAUUUUGUUUUCUUAAUA